Molecule: non-coding RNA, 99 nt
Filed under: Streptomyces sp.
Lineage: Bacteria; Bacillati; Actinomycetota; Actinomycetes; Kitasatosporales; Streptomycetaceae
Description: Glycine sequence
Rfam family: Glycine riboswitch aptamer
About the family: This family represents the bacterial glycine riboswitch. Glycine riboswitches usually consist of two metabolite-binding aptamers domains with similar structures in tandem.
Source: RNAcentral
CGACCCCGUGCGGGAGAGUCCUCCGAUUGAGAUCAUCGGAGGCGCCGAAGGAGCAAAUCCUCCCCGGAAUCUCUCAGGCCCCCGUACCGCACGGACGAG